GACGCAGACGAUGGUCAACCAAUGCUGUUUGCAUCCCUUCCUCUCUCCUCCCCAUCUGGCAAAUAGAGCCUGGGCGUUGGGACGCUUUGGCCUGGGUUUGAUACUGGUUCUCCUAUUGAACAACUGAGUGACCUUGGCCAGAGCAGCAAACCGCUUGAAGUCUCAGUGUUUUCUUCUGUGUAAUGGGCACUGCAAGGAUUGUUGUGAGGAUUCAGUGAGAAGGCUCACGGAAAGAGCCCGGCACACAGCAGGUGCUUAUCGAAAGGUCAAUGUUACCGGCUACUUUGUCAGCUUGGGGCUGUUGGGACUCUUGGCUCUGUAAUCAAGAGUCCUAUCUUCCUGUCUCCCGCCAGAUGGGGGCAGUCACUGCCUUCUUAUUCCCCGCGUGCUCAUAAAAGACUUUUCCAGCAGCCAGCUCACUCGCCACCAGAGGGCUUUGUCGCCUCUUUUAAAAGCAUUCUUGGGUGGACAGAGUCCUGGAUGACAGACAAACCCAUCAGAUUCUAAUUUGGUUCUCAGUUGAUUGCAUCUUCAUCUGAAACCAGCGGUCAGACAGCCCCCCACUCUGAGCUCGCUCUGGCUGGGACUGCCACGCCCACUCCAGGUGCCCUGACGCGGACCCAGUUUUCUAGAGAGAUGCUGCCCAGGUACACAGGGGAUCUUCUGGAUCAAACCCACAUCUCCUGCAUUGCAGGCGGUUUCUAUGCCUCUUGAGCUACCAGGGAAGCCCUUGCUUAUUACUACCCUUUGAGAUCCCAGAGGAAGANNNNNNNNNNNNNNNNNNNNNNNNNNNNNNNNNNNNNNNNNNNNNNNNNNNNNNNNNNNNNNNNNNNNNNNNNNNNNNNNNNNNNNNNNNNNNNNNNNNUACCAGGGAAGCCCUUGCUUAUUACUACCCUUUGAGAUCCCAGAGGAAGAGAAACAGAACCAGGCUGGAGGAGAAGGAGCAGGAUUUCUUCUUCUCCACCAGACUGAUGAUUGAGAGGAAAUGUUUUCCUGCAACUUAUACUUCAGUCUGGACUUCUUAAAACUGUUCUUUUUCACUAGUUUGACUAAAUAUAUCUUUCUAUGAACAUUUGCACAGAUUUUUGUCUUGUCAUUUUUUCCCCCGAGUGACUGGUGUCACGGGCAGAGUUUGCUUCUGGAAUCAUGCUGACCUGGUUUUGAAUUCUGACUCUGUGGCUAAAUGAGCGGUGUGACCUUGGACAAGUUACCGAACCUAUCUGUGUUUCAUCUUCCUCAUCUGUGAAACGGAAAUUAGAGUAUGUUUCUCAUGAGGUUCUUUGGAGAGCUUGAAAGUAUACUUUCCAUUACGAAACACUUCAAACACAAGUAAGAAACNNNNNNNNNNNNNNUUACAGUCCCAGGUGCUCACCUUGUAGCUACAACAGCGUUGACGUUUUAGACCCUUUUGUUUUGUUACUCCUUUCAUCCAUGUUGCCCCCAUCCCAGUGGAUUAUUUUGAAGCAAAUUCUUAUCAUAUGGCAUUUUAUUUGUAAAUAUUGUGAUACAUGUCUCGCUUUUAAAACAUAGCUUUAGAGAGGUUUCAUGGAGCUUAUUCUUUGUAACCAGGAUUUUUAGUAAAAUUUACAGGAUCUGAUGAGAGCUCUCGUGUCCUGCCAUUAGAGUUUUCCAAGAAUAAUUGCAAUCACAUGCUCUUGCUUAUUGACUGUUGGCUCAUUUGACUGCAAACACAAGCAGCAGUGAGCCAUUAGACUACUGAGUUAUAAUCCAGCUACAGUCAUAUACCUGAUGACCGUUUUUGGGGGGCAGUGCUAUCUACCGAGCUAUGUUUUUACAACCCUUUAAGGUGCGAAUGACUAUCUUCAUCUGUAGGCAAGGAAAAAGAGACACAAGAGAGGUUAAGGCGUUUCCUGGGUCACACAGCAGUGAGUGGUUGAGGUGGAGUUUGAAACCAAAGCCUGUUUGACGCCAGAGUCCGUAUCCUGUCCUCUGUCCUGGGCUGUGAUCUUUGGAAUUUCAAUUGGCUUCUCUGUUGAGACUGUAGAUUCUUCAGGUAAGGGCUCUACCUCACAUGGCUAUUUCCAUGGUCCCCAGAAAUCUUAUGAUUUGACUAAUACAAAGUCCAGAGCAAUCUCUGAAAAUUGGUGUGUAAAAGCCAAUCUUAUCAUCAUCACCAUCAGUUUGAACACAAAUGCCGGUUGCAUAUCUCUACAUAGCACAGUACUCAGACCCUGUGGGGAGUUAAAUACGCAGUCUCUGUCCUCGAGGUUAUUUAUGGCAUCUGCCAGGGAUUGAUUCAGACAUAACAGCAAUAAGAUGGGGAAAUGGGUUGGAAAUAUUACUGCCUAUGAGAGUGAUUCCUUAUCUGCUUCAAUGGCUUCAUAUUCCACAUGAAGGCAAAGACGUGGAUAUGAGCUGAAAAAUAUUUAUCUAGCCCAGUGUGUGCCAGGAGCUGUGCUGGGGGUCUUCUACUAGGGAGAGGCAGGAGGAAGCAGCAUGCUGGGGUCAGUGGACAAUCACAUAGACAAUUCAGAGCAAGUGGAAAACACACACCACAUUUUGCAGCAGCAACAGCGCUGGAGGGAGAUGAGCAGGGUGGUGUAGCAGACGGCCGCAGGGAAGAGGAGCCCUAGUGUGGACGUGGGGGCCAAGAGGACCCCUCUUAGAGGGUGGCCUCUGAGCCAUGCCCAGAAGGUUGAGCCACAGGCAGCAAAUGAGAAGCCACAGAGGCUCAUUCCAGGCGGGGAAGAGCACGUGCAAAGGCCCUGAGGUGGAACAGGGUUGGCAUAUUUGUGGGACAGUAG
This 2765-nucleotide long non-coding RNA is filed under the name Capra hircus (goat). Its description in RNAcentral is "lncRNA (ENSCHIG00010025775.1)". Lineage: Eukaryota; Metazoa; Chordata; Mammalia; Artiodactyla; Bovidae. The record is from RNAcentral.